RNAcentral lists this ribosomal RNA (219 nucleotides) under uncultured bacterium. RNAcentral describes it as "partial 16S ribosomal RNA". It matches the Rfam family "Bacterial small subunit ribosomal RNA", at positions 524 to 741 of the family's 1533-position model. The record is from RNAcentral.
UACGUAGGGUGCAAGCGUUAAUCGGAAUUACUGGGCGUAAAGCGUGCGCAGGCGGUUUUGUAAGUCUGUCGUGAAAUCCCCGGGCUCAACCUGGGAAUUGCGAUGGAGACUGCAAGGCUAGAAUCUGGCAGAGGGGGGUAGAAUUCCACGUGUGAGCAGUGAAAUGCGUAGAGAUGUGGAGGAACACCGAUGGCGAAGGCAGCCCCCUGGGUCAAGAUU